GAUGAACGCUGGCGGCGUGCCUAAUACAUGCAAGUAGAACGCUGAAGGAGGAGCUUGCUCUUCUGGAUGAGUUGCGAACGGGUGAGUAACGCGUAGGUAACCUGCCUGGUAGCGGGGGAUAACUAUUGGAAACGAUAGCUAAUACCGCAUGACAACAGUUAUUGCAUGAUAACUGUUUAAAAGGGGCAACUGCUCCACUACCAGAUGGACCUGCGUUGUAUUAGCUAGUUGGUGAGGUAACGGCUCACCAAGGCGACGAUACAUAGCCGACCUGAGAGGGUGAUCGGCCACACUGGGACUGAGACACGGCCCAGACGCCUACGGGAGGCAGCAGUAGGGAAUCUUCGGCAAUGGACGGAAGUCUGACCGAGCAACGCCGCGUGAGUGAAGAAGGUUGUCGGAUCGUAAAGCUCGGUUGUAAGAGAAGAACGAGUGUGAGAGUGGAAAGUUCACACUGUGACGGUAUCUUACCAGAAAGGGACGGCUAACUACGUG
RNAcentral lists this ribosomal RNA (495 nucleotides) under uncultured bacterium. RNAcentral's name for it is "partial 16S ribosomal RNA". It matches the Rfam family "Bacterial small subunit ribosomal RNA", at positions 28 to 507 of the family's 1533-position model. The record is from RNAcentral.